This 394-nucleotide ribosomal RNA is filed under the name Agrobacterium sp. F94. RNAcentral's name for it is "bacterial SSU rRNA". It matches the Rfam family "Bacterial small subunit ribosomal RNA", at positions 117 to 546 of the family's 1533-position model. Lineage: Bacteria; Pseudomonadati; Pseudomonadota; Alphaproteobacteria; Hyphomicrobiales; Rhizobiaceae. The record is from RNAcentral.
GUGGGAACGUGCCCUUUACUACGGAACAACUCCGGGAAACUGGAGCUAAUACCGUAUGUGCCCUUCGGGGGAAAGAUUUAUCGGUAAAGGAUCGGCCCGCGUUGGAUUAGCUAGUUGGUGGGGUAAAGGCCUACCAAGGCGACGAUCCAUAGCUGGUCUGAGAGGAUGAUCAGCCACAUUGGGACUGAGACACGGCCCAAACUCCUACGGGAGGCAGCAGUGGGGAAUAUUGGACAAUGGGCGCAAGCCUGAUCCAGCCAUGCCGCGUGUGUGAUGAAGGCCUUAGGGUUGUAAAGCACUUUCACCGGAGAAGAUAAUGACGGUAUCCGGAGAAGAAGCCCCGGCUAACUUCGUGCCAGCAGCCGCGGUAAUACGAAGGGGGCUAGCGUUGUUC